Molecule: ribosomal RNA, 494 nt
Filed under: uncultured bacterium
Lineage: Bacteria
Description: partial 16S ribosomal RNA
Rfam family: Bacterial small subunit ribosomal RNA
Source: RNAcentral
GACGAACGCUGGCGGCGUGCUUAACACAUGCAAGUCGAACGGAAAGGCCUGCUUUCCCUUGUGGAUUGCGGGUACUCGAGUGGCGAACGGGUGAGUAACACGUGUGUGAUCUGCCCCCAACUUGGGUAUAAGCCUGGGAAACUGGGUCUAAUUCCCGAUAGGACUGCAGGGUGGUGCCUGUGGUGGAAAACGAUUUUCUAGUGGUUGGGGAUGAGCUCGCGGCCUAUCAGCUUGUUGGUGGGGUAAUGGCCUACCAAGGCGGCGACGGGUAGCCGGCCUGAGAGGGUGGACGGCCACAUUGGGACUGAGAUACGGCCCAGACUCCUACGGGAGGCAGCAGUGGGGAAUAUUGCACAAUGGGCGGAAGCCUGAUGCAGCGACGCCGCGUGGGGGAUGACGGCCUUCGGGUUGUAAACUCCUUUCGACCGCGAGGAAGCCACCUGGUUGGAAGGGUGGUGACGGUAGUGGUAGAAGAAGCACCGGCUAACUACGUG